This 253-nucleotide ribosomal RNA is filed under the name uncultured bacterium. RNAcentral describes it as "partial 16S ribosomal RNA". It matches the Rfam family "Bacterial small subunit ribosomal RNA", at positions 524 to 776 of the family's 1533-position model. The record is from RNAcentral.
UACGAAGGGGGCUAGCGUUGCUCGGAAUCACUGGGCGUAAAGCGCACGUAGGCGGACAUUUAAGUCAGGGGUGAAAUCCCAGAGCUCAACUCUGGAACUGCCUUUGAUACUGGGUGUCUUGAGUAUGGAAGAGGUGAGUGGAAUUCCGAGUGUAGAGGUGAAAUUCGUAGAUAUUCGGAGGAACACCAGUGGCGAAGGCGGCUCACUGGUCCAUUACUGACGCUGAGGUGCGAAAGCGUGGGGAGCAAACAGG